GGCCAGACUCCUACGGGAGGCAGCAGUGGGGGAUAUUGCACAAUGGGGGAAGCCCUGAUGCAGCGACGCCGCGUGGGUGAAGAAGCGCCUCGGCGCGUAAAGCCCUGUCAGCAGGGAAGAAAAUGACGGUACCUGAAGAAGAAGCCCCGGCUAACUACGUGCCAGCAGCCGCGGUAAUACGGAGGAUGCGAGCGUUAUCCGGAUUUAUUGGGUUUAAAGGGUGCGUAGGUUGUUUUAUAAGUUAGCGGUGAAAUACCGAUGCUCAACAUCGGGGCUGCCGCUAAUACUGUAGGACUAGAGAUCGGAUGCAGCAGGCGGAAUGUGUAGUGUAGCGGUGAAAUGCAUAGAUAUUACACAGAACACCGAUUGCGAAGGCAGCUUGCUAGGCCGGAUCUGACACUGAUGCACGAAAGCGUGGGGAUCGAACAGGAUUAGAUACCCGGGUAU
This 447-nucleotide ribosomal RNA is filed under the name uncultured bacterium. Its description in RNAcentral is "bacterial SSU rRNA". It matches the Rfam family "Bacterial small subunit ribosomal RNA", at positions 329 to 793 of the family's 1533-position model. The record is from RNAcentral.